Molecule: ribosomal RNA, 278 nt
Filed under: uncultured Phaeobacter sp.
Lineage: Bacteria; Pseudomonadati; Pseudomonadota; Alphaproteobacteria; Rhodobacterales; Roseobacteraceae
Description: partial 16S ribosomal RNA
Rfam family: Bacterial small subunit ribosomal RNA
Source: RNAcentral
AACGAACGCUGGCGGCAGGCCUAACACAUGCAAGUCGAGCGCACCCUUCGGGGCGAGCGGCGGACGGGUUAGUAACGCGUGGGAAUGUACCCUUCUCUAUGGAAUAGCCAUUGGAAACGAUGAGUAAUACCAUAUACGCCCUUCGGGGGAAAGAUUUAUCGGAGAAGGAUCAGCCCGCGUUAGAUUAGAUAGUUGGUGGGGUAAUGGCCUACCAAGUCUACGAUCUAUAGCUGGUUUUAGAGGAUGAUCAGCAACACUGGGACUGAGACACGGCCCAG